UUAAACAAAGUUUGCAGUGUGUUUAUAAUUAACCUCUUGUCCAUUCUAUGUUCUAUUCUGGUGACCAAUACGAAAGGAGGAGUUAUUCUCAUAACUAUCUGAAGAGUUGCACCUUCACCUUGAUUUCAGUGAUGGAAAUGAAGAGGGCAAUCAUAGAGGAAUACAAGAGGAGAUGUCUGUGGAAGCUGUUGGAUGCUGGGCAUUGUUUCUUCAUGGAGGCUCAGGAACCUCACAAGAAAUUUACACACCUCCCCCAUGCCUCAGGUUACACAGUGGUGAACAACUGCUGAGGAGCCUCCUGGAUCCUGCCUGCCUGCAGAUGUUAUGAGCAAGUCAGCCUUCCUGUGAUGAUUUUUCUCAGCUCUCCUGGGCCUCUGAGGUCACUGACAUUUCACAUCAUUUCCUGCAAUCCUCCUGCUAGAACCUGGACCCCUGACUCCUGUUUCAUUGGGGUUGGACACGAGACCUCUUCCAAUACAUUGUGGAUAUGGCUGUAACCAUUGGACGCUAUUCCCCUCCAAAGCAGACAGCCCUUGCAGUAACCAUUUCAGUCUAGACAUGAAAAUGCAGAGAUGUGGAACGCAGUCAUAGUGGAUACAUCAACAUACAACUUCUGCAUAUGAAGCUCAGGGAUUAAUGAGGUGGUGAUUUAAUUGAGUUCAAGAGAGUGUGUGGUGGCAGGACACUGGGCCCACCAUGGAAUUGGGAUGUGUAUGUCUGGCAUGGUAGCAACCUGCCUUGAGAACUGGACAAGUAGAGAGAUUGUUGCCGGACUCAGAGAGUGGCCAUUGGCAGUGUGAUAUGGGAUGGAGCUUAGCAGGUGUCCAUGAAAAAAGUACCCUAAAAGGAAGAUGCAGCCAUCCACGAUUUAGGAAGGAAAAGGAGGUAAUUUGGCCCUUACGGUUAUUAAUCUACCCCAUAAAUAUUUAUGUAAGUGUGUUUAAAACUCACAAUGUGGAAGUGGUUGUUAUAGCCUAUUCCAAGGUUAGUCUG
Non-coding RNA from Rattus norvegicus (Norway rat), 993 nucleotides. The record is from RefSeq and is a predicted model, not a curated record. NCBI's taxonomy places the organism in Eukaryota, Metazoa, Chordata, Mammalia, Rodentia, Muridae.